CUCAUCUAAAAGACAGAGGGAAACCAGAUGGGAAAAGAGCACAAACUCUCAGCAGGAAUUUCAGGGAUUUUUUUGUUUCUGAAACAAAGAUCUCCUCCCAUUGCUCUAGGCUAAGCAGAAAGGUGGUUCCAUCCACCUGAGGCAUUCUGAGGGCAAGACUGAAAGGCAAGGGUUAGCUUCUGUGCUGGAGCUGCAGCUUCCCAUGGCAUCAGGAUCUGUGAGCCCCCCCCCAUGGGAGCAUAUGCCCCCAUCCCCUCCACCCCAGUGGGCACCCGAGGCUGCAGGGGUACCUACCUCAGCUAUUGCUGCCUGCAACACCUUGGCUACUUCUGAUACAGCAAUUCUUUCUGCUGCCCGGGCAAAUGCUUCAGCAUCUCUUUCUGCCUCUGUUUUUUCUGAUACUUCCACCAUUGUCUCCUUUGCUCCUUCAGGAAUGACCACCUUUCCACACAGACCUGUUCUCGCUGGGCUUUCCACCUCCCCUGUUGCUGCUGCUUUUUCUACUCCUUCCACCUCAGCUUGUGAUGCUGUUGCAUCCUUUCCUGUUUCCUCUGGUGCCAUGACAGCCAGCAGCUCCAUGUUCCCUGCAAGGUCACCAGCAGCCAGCAUGGCAGGAGGACCCUUCCCAGGGGACAGCACAGGCCCGUGCAGUCGUAGAGCUGGCCUGGAACCUCAGUGAGUCCAUUUGCAAGGUAGCUUUCAUCAUAUGCAGUACAGCAACGUCAAAUCACAAGAAACAUUUCACUCCUCUGCAACAUACUGUAAUGUGAGAGAACACAGAGGUUACUUGCAACAGACAACAAGCAUAAAGAAGUAUCUGUUUUAACCAGCUGUCCUUUUUGUUAGAAAAGGUCUUACGUCAGAGCUGAGAUGCCUGAAGGUCAGCCAAGUUAGUCACUGGGCCAGAGCAGGGCAUCCUGGCUCCUAUUCCCUGCUUGGAAGGGUGCUUUUGUCUCUUAGUCAAAAGGAGGUGAACCAGGUUCCUGGUUCAAUACUGACUCACUGCAUAACCUUGAACAAGAUACUGCACCACACCU
Molecule: long non-coding RNA, 1037 nt
Filed under: Lepidothrix coronata (blue-crowned manakin)
Lineage: Eukaryota; Metazoa; Chordata; Aves; Passeriformes; Pipridae
Description: lncRNA (ENSLCOG00000011275.1)
Source: RNAcentral